This 253-nucleotide ribosomal RNA is filed under the name uncultured bacterium. RNAcentral's name for it is "partial 16S ribosomal RNA". It matches the Rfam family "Bacterial small subunit ribosomal RNA", at positions 524 to 776 of the family's 1533-position model. The record is from RNAcentral.
UACGUAGGGGGCAAGCGUUGUCCGGAUUUAUUGGGCGUAAAGAGCGUGUAGGCGGCUUUACAGGUCCGUUGUGAAAACUCGAGGCUCAACCUCGAGACGCCGGUGGAAACCGUAAAGCUAGAGUCCGGAAGAGGAGAGUGGAAUUCCUGGUGUAGCGGUGAAAUGCGCAGAUAUCAGGAGGAACACCCGUGGCGAAGGCAGCUCGCUGGGACGGUACUGACGCUGAGACGCGAAAGCGUGGGGAGCAAACAGG